GACGAACGCUGGCGGCGUGCUUAACACAUGCAAGUCGAACGGAAAGGCCCUGCUUUUGUGGGGUGCUCGAGUGGCGAACGGGUGAGUAACGCGUGAGUAACCUGCCCUUGACUUUGGGAUAACUUCAGGAAACUGGGGCUAAUACCGGAUAGGAGCUCCUGCUGCAUGGUGGGGGUUGGAAAGUUUCGGCGGUUGGGGAUGGACUCGCGGCUUAUCAGCUUGUUGGUGGGGUAGUGGCUUACCAAGGCUUUGACGGGUAGCCGGCCUGAGAGGGUGACCGGCCACAUUGGGACUGAGAUACGGCCCAGACUCCUACGGGAGGCAGCAGUGGGGAAUAUUGCACAAUGGGCGGAGGCCUGAUGCAGCAACGCCGCGUGCGGGAUGACGGCCUUCGGGUUGUAAACCGCUUUCGCCUGUGACGAAGCGUGAGUGACGGUAAUGGGUAAAGAAGCACCGGCUAACUACGUG
This 468-nucleotide ribosomal RNA is filed under the name uncultured bacterium. Its description in RNAcentral is "partial 16S ribosomal RNA". It matches the Rfam family "Bacterial small subunit ribosomal RNA", at positions 28 to 507 of the family's 1533-position model. The record is from RNAcentral.